UCCAGCCUACGGGGGGCAGCAGUGGGGAAUAUUGCACAAUGGGGGAAACCCUGAUGCAGCAACGCCGCGUGAGUGAAGAAGUCAUUCGUGAUGUAAAGCUCUAUCAGCAGGGAAGAAAAUGACGGUACCUGAGUAAGAAGCCCCGGCUAACUACGUGCCAGCAGCCGCGGUAAUACGUAGGGGGCAAGCGUUAUCCGGAUUUACUGGGUGUAAAGGGAGCGUAGACGGCCGUUCAAGCCAGAUGUGAAAGCCCGGGGCUCAACCCCGGGACUGCAUUUGGAACUGUUGGUCUUGAGUAUCGGAGG
Molecule: ribosomal RNA, 305 nt
Filed under: uncultured bacterium
Lineage: Bacteria
Description: bacterial SSU rRNA
Rfam family: Bacterial small subunit ribosomal RNA
Source: RNAcentral